This 411-nucleotide ribosomal RNA is filed under the name Charybdis hellerii. Its description in RNAcentral is "partial 16S ribosomal RNA". The stretch from base 273 to 411 matches the Rfam family "Bacterial large subunit ribosomal RNA", at positions 2473 to 2612 of the family's 2925-position model. The record is from RNAcentral. Lineage: Eukaryota; Metazoa; Arthropoda; Malacostraca; Decapoda; Portunidae.
UGGUUGGACAAAGAAGAGACUGUCUCUUGUGUUAUAAUUGAAUUUAACUUUUAAGUGAAAAGGCUUAAAUAUUCUAGAGGGACGAUAAGACCCUAUAAAGCUUUAUAAAUUUGAAGAUUUUGUGUAUUUUUAUAUAAAAAUGAAUUUUGAAGAUUUUAUUUGGUUGGGGCGACAAUGGUAUAAUGAGAAUAACUGCUAUUAAAAUUAACAAUUAUAUUUGAAUUAUUAGUAAUUGAUCCUUUAUAAGGAUUUUAAGAUCAAGUUACUUUAGGGAUAACAGCGUUAUUUUUCUUGAGAGUUCUUAUCAAAGGAAAAGUUUGCGACCUCGAUGUUGAAUUAAAAUGUCUAUAUAGUGCAGCAGCUAUAAAAGAAGGUCUGUUCGACCUUUAAUAUUUUACAUGAUUUGAGUUC